GGCACUCAGCUCUAUCUACUUCAUUAUAAUCAGAGUCCUUCAGUAUAGCUGCAUUUAAGUAAAAGUCAUCAGUCUUAAGUCUCCUUCUAUUUCACCAUCACUAGAAGUCAUCAGUCUUAAGCCACAGCCACAAUUGGGAAAAGCCCUUUUGAGUUCUUCUUCCUCCCUAGACUAGAGAAACAAAAACAUAACACAGUACCGUACUACUGCCAUGCUUUAUUUUUUGAGUUCUAGUUUCAGUCUGUGUUUGGUGCUUGCUUAAAGUUCUUCAAUCGUCUUUUCCCUCAACCCUAAUCUGAUUUCCAUAUUCUAUCUAUUCCAUACAUACAUAUAUUUUGCGCUCAAAAAUCUUCAAAAGUUUCAGUGAUGGGCAAGCCAAGUUCACGGUCAGAUUCGUCGACCAAGGCCGAUCGCAAGUUUGAAAAGAAGCUCAAGUUUUAUUCCAAGGUUAGAGAUACUGUUGCCACCUUGACUGCCCAAAAGACUAUUGCCAAG
Long non-coding RNA from Humulus lupulus (European hop), 495 nucleotides. RefSeq lists it as uncharacterized. The record is from RefSeq and is a predicted model, not a curated record. The transcript has 3 exons. Lineage: Eukaryota; Viridiplantae; Streptophyta; Magnoliopsida; Rosales; Cannabaceae.